RNAcentral lists this ribosomal RNA (475 nucleotides) under uncultured bacterium. Its description in RNAcentral is "partial 16S ribosomal RNA". It matches the Rfam family "Bacterial small subunit ribosomal RNA", at positions 28 to 507 of the family's 1533-position model. The record is from RNAcentral.
GAUGAACGCUGGCGGCGUGCUUAACACAUGCCAGUCGAACGGGAUCCAAGGGGUGCUUGCACUUUUUGGUGAGAGUGGCGAACGGGUGAGUAACACGUGAGUAACCUGUCCUUUUCUUUCGGAUAAGCAUUCGAAAGGGUGUUUAAUACCUUAUGUUCUGUCUGCCUCGCAUGGGGUGGGUGGGAAAGGCUUUGGCCGGAUUUGGGUGGGCUCGCGGUCUAUCAGCUUGUUGGUGGGGUGAUGGCUUACCAAGGCUUUGACGGGUAGCCGGCCUGAGAGGGUGACCGGCCACAUUGGGGCUGAGAUACGGCCCAGACGGCAACGGGAGGCAGUAGUGGGGAAUAUGGCACAAUGGGCGGAAGCCUGAUGCAGCAACGCCGCGUGCGGGAUGACGGCCUUCGGGUUGUAAACCGCUUUCGCCUGUGACGAAGCGUGAGUGACGGUAAUGGGUAAAGAAGCACCGGCUAACUACGUG